RNAcentral lists this ribosomal RNA (275 nucleotides) under uncultured bacterium. RNAcentral describes it as "partial 16S ribosomal RNA". It matches the Rfam family "Bacterial small subunit ribosomal RNA", at positions 399 to 691 of the family's 1533-position model. The record is from RNAcentral.
GCGUGUGUGAAGAAGGUCUUCGGAUUGUAAAGCACUUUCGGCGGGGACGAUGAUGACGGUACCCGCAGAAGAAGCCCCGGCUAACUUCGUGCCAGCAGCCGCGGUAAUACGAAGGGGGCUAGCGUUGCUCGGAAUUACUGGGCGUAAAGGGCGCGUAGGUGGCUUGGUCAGUCAGGCGUGAAAUUCCUGGGCUUAACCUGGGGGCUGCGCUUGAUACGGCUAGGCUGGAGGUUGGAAGAGGCUCGUGGAAUUCCCAGUGUAGAGGUGAAAUUCGU